AGACUAGCUUGCGAGGUCUGCAGAGUGCAGAGUUGGGCUGAGAAGGGUGCCCCAAGGUGAAGGGGUGGUUGUUUAGUCAUCACUUCUGGCUAAUUUCACUCACAACGACUCUAAAGCCACAGCAGGGGCACCACAGUUCUAGGGCUGGUGAAUGUUGGCAUGUCACAAGCCUGUUAGUCUUGCCCAAGAAUCUGUUAACUCAAUACCAGCCGGGCCCCAGCAGUGCCUCUGGUCUCAUACCUCCCCACCCCCGCACCAGAGUUUGACAGCUUUAAUUUCAACCCAAUGCAAACCCCUGGAAAGAGGGAGCCACCAGUAUCAUGGCAAGGAGGUGGGUGUCAGGACAAGGACACAUUGAGAAAGGUGAGUAGGCAGGCCUGGCUCAAAUCCUGACCCCAGCUCUGAAACGUUGGACAAGUCACUUCUCCAAGCCUGGGUUUCCUCCUCUGUAGCCACCAGCCAACACUAACGACAUGCCAUUUCCAGGGUGUGGUCACUCCCUCAAGCAUGCAGGCAGGGUCUGAGAGUCCUCCUGUCAACCUUGCCCAUAGAAAGUAUACCAGUCAGGGAGUUCCUGUUGUGGCGCAGUGGUUAACAAAUCCGACUAGGAACCAUGAGGUUGCAGGUUCGGUCCCUGCCCUUGCUCAGUGGGUUAAGGAUCUGGUGUUGCCGUGAGCUGUGGUGUAGGUUGCAGACGCAGCUUGGAUCCCGCGUUGCUAUGGCUCUGGCGUAGGCCGGUGGCUCCAGCUCCGAUUCAACCCCUAGCCUGGGAACCUCCAUAUGCCGCAGGAGCGGCCCAAGAAAUAGCUAAAAAAAAAGACAAAAAAAAAAAAAAAAAAAAAGAAAGUAUACCAGUCAGGAGUCUCCAAAGAGACAGAACCAACAAGAUACAGAUGUAUCAUAUUUGGUACAUCGGGAAAGAGACAGAUUUUAUUUUAAGGAAUUAGCUCACACGAUUGUGGAAGCUGAAAAAUCUGAAAUUUGAAGGACGGGCUGGGAGGCUGGAAACUCAGGCAUCAUUUCUGUGUUACAGCUGGCAGCAGAAGUCCUGCUCUAAGAAAUCUCGGCUUUUGUUCUUCCAGCCUUCAGCUGAUUGUACGAGGCCCACCCAUAUUAUCACAGACACCCUCCCUUACUUAAAGUUAACUGAUGGCAAGUAUAAAUCACAAGUAGCAAAUACCUUUACAGCAGCACCUAGACCAGUGUUUAAACAAACCAUAGGCAUCAUCACUCAGCCAAGUUGAAACACAAUGUUUAACCAUCACAGAAUGUAUUACUUCCUUUCAUGCAUGAGGAAGUUGAAGCUCAGAGCUGCUGUGCCAACUGCUUCAGGCCAAGGAGCACAUGGAGGAUAAAGCUGGGCGUUGGCCACAAGCCAGAGUCGGCCUCUACUCUGAGAAUGUGGCUGUGGGUAGCUACCUCACCGGGCAUGUGUGAGGACUGGAUACAAAAAUGCACACAAGGACUUCCCAUCUUGGCGCAGUGGAAACGAUUCUGACUAGGAACCAUGAGGUUAUGGGUUUGAUCCCUGGCCUCAUUCAGUGGGUUAAGGAUCUGGCAUUGCCAUGAGCUGUGGUGAAGGUUGCAGAUGCAGCUCAGAUCCCAUGUUGCUGUGGCUGUGCUGUAGGCUGACAGCUGCAGCUCCAAUUCGACCCCUAGCCUGGGAACUUCCAUAUGCCGCAGGUGCAGCCCUUAAAAAAAAAAAAAAAAAAAUUACUGAAAAAGGAUGAGAUGGUGUGGGAACUGGGAGAGGGGCCGAGAGGAGUGUUGUUCCCCACCGUCAGAGAUGGUUCUAGAGUGUGGGGCAGAGAAACCUAUAGCCUCCUGGGCCCCCAAGGAGAGAGAAGAGUGGGGGAGAAGGAGGCCCCCAUCAGGCUGAGAGCCCUGGUGCCAGGCAACCCGGCUCAGAGCCUCUGACCCAAGUGCAGGGGACGGAGAGGGAGCCCAGAAUCACGAGUGUGUGUGCUGUCAGAAAGGAGUCUCACCUCCUGAGGCUGUGGCCAGCUGGCAGAGCUACCUGGAAGUGGGUGACUUCUCCUAAGGGUCAGGCUGGCUGGCUCCUGGGCUGGGUACUCCCAUCUGCCCGCCCAAACUGGACCUAUGGCCAGAAGUAGAGAAAAGCUUCCACUGAGACCAGAAAGCCUUAGACACAGCUGAGGCUCCUUCCUUAAGCUCCCCUGGCGGGAGUGCUGGACCAGAGGCAGAAGGCCAAUAGGUUAGCCAUGCUCUCCACCUACUGGCUAUGUGAUCUUGGGCGAGUGACUUAACCAUUCUGGGCUUCUGUCCAAUGUAUGUGGCUACUCACUGCUCUGACCCACAGGGCUGCUUCAAGGGGACCAAGCCAUGGCACUAUUACUUGUCACCAUUCUUGUUCAUCAUUGCAUUGGUCUUCCUGGCCAUCUUAUUGCCCCUGUUUACCCAGCACCACUUCUCUCAGUACUACUCACUCUCUCCCUUCUCCUCCCUCUAUUUUUCCAGCUCCCCUCACAGCUGGUCAGAAUGUGUGCUGGGCGGGCCUCUAAAUGCCUCCAGGGUCAGAAAGAAAUGAAAGCCCUUGCCAUCGUUGAUAAUCAUGUCGAUAACAGUGGGAUUCUGGCAAAGGUUGGAUGGUUGGGACUCUGACCCUCCCCCACCCCAUGCUGCCCCCCCUGCUGCUAUAUGCCUCUUUCUUCUCUCUCUGGCCUCCAGCCUCCCUGGCCCUCUAACGUCCCUCCUCCAUACCGGGCUCCUCUAGGCUUUGCUGAAGGCCCCUCAGCCUGGCUGCUCCAUCAGAAGCAGUAUCUGGUUGACACCGUCCAAGCUCCGAAGUGGGUCUCUCUCCACGCCACUGUCUGUCCCAGAACACUUGCCCAUACUGGUCACAGCCUGUAAGGGUUCCUUGCCUAGCGUGUCUCCCCAGCAGCCCAGGGCAGGGAGCAAGGCUCCUUUUCAUGUGCAUCCUGCACUCGCUGGGGAAGGCAGGCCCAGCCAGCUCCCUUCAACUCCACCCCAUCACCAUCCCAUCCCCCAGGGGGCCUGCUCUAGCCUGACCCACAGGCAGGGGCUGGGGUGUGAAGACAAGCACUACGGAACCUGCCUCUGGGACAGUCCCCUUCAGAGAACCCCUCACAGCCAGCCUGAUCCUCCCCCAGCCCCCGCCCCAGACCCUCCUCCAGAGAGAAAAGAGCAAGCAUGUGGGCUACAAUGGACUCCUUUGUAGCCCAAACCUUACUUGCUGUGUGGCCUUGAGCAAGUACUCUUCCCUGAGUCAGUCACACUGGCUCCAAAACAGGUUAGGGCUACAGACAUACACUUAAGAUGUCCUCAAAGCCAGGCGGUUGUCAUUGCUAAGACAGCACAUGUCUACAGAGUUAGGGACCCUUGAAAGAGCCCAUCCUGCCUGGGCCAGCCCAGGGAUUGCAGGCCUGUUGAGUCCUCAAAAGAAGCUGGAAAUCUGAGUUUCAAUUUAACAAUCUCCUGAUUGACAACUAAUUCCCUCCCUUUUUUUUUUGUUCUUGGUCUCUUAGGGUUGUACCUGCAACAUAUGGAUGUUGCCAGGCUAGGGGUCAAAUCAGAGCUACAGCUGCCAGUCUAUGCCAGAGCCACAGCAACUCAGGAUCCAAGCCAUGUCUUCGACCUACACCACAGCUCAUGGCAACGCCAGAUCCUUAACCCACUGAGUAGGGCCAGAGAUCAACCCUGCAUCCUCGUGGAUCCUAGUCAGGUUUGCUACCGAAAAGUCACGAAGGGAAGUCCUAAUUCACAUUUUUUAAAAGCACUUAUGGGUCAAACAGGACAUGUCUGGGCCACAGUUUGUGGGUGCUAGGCUGGGAGGCCAGGUUCUGGGGUCUGCUGGGGCUCUCUGGGAGGGUAGUAUUUGCUCUUUGGUCAUUUUCUGCUCCUUUUUGGCAGGGGAGGAGGUGCUGUUCCUUGUGUGCCACCCCAGACCUGCCUCCUGGAGUACUGGAUGACUUUGCUCUACUCUGGCCCCUUAGUCAAUUAGAGCCCACCCCUUGCCCUGAAGAUGGCUUCACAAACCCAGGUCCAGGUGGGCCAGAACCUGAGAGGGUUCCAAAGGCAGGACCAGCACAAGGCAGGGGUUAAGGGCCUCAGAACCCUCAUGCCCUGCACAAUCCCCAAAUUCCUAUCAUAACUCCUGGGCCCUGACACUGUAAACCCUGGAGCUCAUGUUUCCAACCCUCCAAGGCAGAGCUGAGCUGUUUCCAGAACCUCUGGCCACUCUGCAAAGCUGGCUCCCUGCCCCCACUAUUUGGUCAGGCACUGAAACUCCAAGGAGCACCCCUGGUCCAAGGCCAAGGCCACAGUGAGCAUCAGCAGCACAGGCUGGAGGUUUUGUCCAUCUUCAAAACUGUCCCAUGUCCAUUCAGGGGAUUCCUUGAGGGGAAGGCUGGCAAGAUUUCUCACCUGGCUGGCAGAUGUGGAAACUGAGGCCCAGAGCAAAGCAGGAAGCUCACUCAGGUCCCUCAGAGACAUCACCUUAGAGAGAGGCACUGCUAAAAAUAGCUCCUGGGGCCCAGAGUGGGAAAGGAUGAAUUCUGGGGCUAGCAUUAACAUUUUCUUUUGCCUUGAACACUGGGCAGGUGCUGUGUGCAGCAGUCCCUGACAGUAAAGAUGACACAGACUAGGGGGGAGGGGGGAAGUGAGGGAGGUCUGGUCCCAGCAUCAUCCCCAGAUUGGAGUCUGACCUUCCUUGUCUGAACUCUGGAGGCCCGGGUUCCCCUGCCCAGGGCCAGGGUGAUAAGAUGAGUUUGCACUGCAGCUGAGGAGGGAGGCAAGACAGGAGCUAGGGAGAGAAGCGAGGGAAGAAAAAGCAGGGGUCAGGAGAGAGGGGAGUAAGAAGUCUGAACCCAGGAGAGGGAUCACAGCUCUGCCAGAAUGGGGCUCACCCAGACUCAUCACUGAGGCAGGAGAGACAACCCCACUUCACAGAUGGAAAAAUUGAGGCUUAGGGCAUGGAGUAAUUUGCCCAAGAUCUCAGAAUCAGAAAAGCAGCAGAGUCAAGAUUAGAUUUCAUGGCAAGUUCCUGCUGUGGCACAGAGGAAACGAAUCCAACUAGUGUCCAUGAGGAUGCGGAUUUGAUCCCUGGCCUCACUCAGUGGGUUCGGGAUCCGGCAUUGCCGUGAGCUGUGGCAUAGAUUGCAGACAUGGCUCAGAUCCCACGUUGCUGUGACUGUGGUGUAGGCCAGUAGCUACAGCUCUGAUUCAACCCCUAGGGAACUUCCAUAUGCCAGUGGUG
RNAcentral lists this long non-coding RNA (5236 nucleotides) under Sus scrofa (pig). Its description in RNAcentral is "lncRNA (ENSSSCG00000053956.1)". The record is from RNAcentral. Lineage: Eukaryota; Metazoa; Chordata; Mammalia; Artiodactyla; Suidae.